AUGUACGAGCUAUUUCCAGCUGCAUUUGCAACAGUCUUCAUUCUUCACUUGGUAGUAACUUCGGUGGCUCAGAAUUCAGUGACGCUGUGGAAGAACAGGAACUUCGGUGGUCAGCAAUGCACGAUUCCAGUACAAGGAUGCCAACCGGUUUGUCCUGGAAUGGAAGCUCAGACUUCGUCUCUUCAAGGGAAUACUUCUUGCGUCAAUUUUUACCGGCGUCCAAACUGCACGGCGUACAUGAGCACUUGGCAUUCGACGGACGGGGUUGUUUGGAACUGGAAACACACGCGCUUUCAAGACUCCAUCGUCUCCGUCGGGGACUGUAAACAACCGGUUUUCCCAAUGAAUUCCAUGACAUUCUACGAGCAUAAGAAUUUCGGAGGGAAGUUCUGCAAACAUACCGGUAAGUGGCUGCAGACCGAUGUGUCCCGAACUGGACAACCGAGCUUCCUCCGCUGAAGGAACCGCUACCUGCGUCAAACUGUUCGACCAGGCCAACUGCAGAGGUUUUCUGCGCUUGCUGGAUCUCCAGGAUAACGCCAACAUGAAUUUCGCCGACUAUAAUUAUCAAGAUAGUGUCUCUUCAAUCGCGGACUGUGACAACAACACGGCCACAUUUUACCAGCACAAGGAUUUAAAAGGGAAAAGCUGCGCAAUCCCUUUGGCAGGUUGCAAACCUAUGUGCCCGGACUUGGACAACAAGCCUCGUCCGCUGACGGAAACUACCUCUGCGUGAAGGCGUAUAGUGAGCCUAAUUGCAAUGGGUAUUUAGGCAUAAUAUGGCCAGACGAGAGCACCCUUCGGAUUUCGAGGAUACGGAUUUUCCAAGACAAGAUAUCAUCCGUCAGCGACUGCGCCAGCAAGGAGACUGUUACAUUCUUUCGAGCAUAAGAAGUUUCAAGGGAGGAGAUGCGACAUACAUGUGAAGG
Molecule: long non-coding RNA, 929 nt
Filed under: Bemisia tabaci
Lineage: Eukaryota; Metazoa; Arthropoda; Insecta; Hemiptera; Aleyrodidae
Description: lncRNA ENSSWEETPG011155
Source: RNAcentral